Molecule: transfer RNA, 71 nt
Filed under: Heterocephalus glaber (naked mole-rat)
Lineage: Eukaryota; Metazoa; Chordata; Mammalia; Rodentia; Bathyergidae
Rfam family: tRNA
About the family: Transfer RNA (tRNA) molecules are approximately 80 nucleotides in length.
Source: Rfam by way of RNAcentral
AGGAAUGUAGCUCAGUGGUACAGCACUUAUCUAGCAGAUAUAAGACCUUGGUUCAAACCCAAGCACUUGUA